UGUUGCUCUUUGAAAGUUCCGUGAUUAAGAUUCGAAACAUUGCUUGACCAACACGAAGUCAUAAACUGUCUCCUCGCUCUGUCUCUUCGUCUGCCAUCCCCGCUUUCGCCUGUUUGCAAUCAAUGGCUGGUGAAUCUGAUGAGCCCGAAAACAACCUCUUUUGUGUUAACUGUGCCAAACCCGCCAAUCUUCAGUGCCCAAAAUGCGUGAAAUUGAAGCUUCCUCGUGCAGGUUCUGCCUUCUGUCCCUAUAUCCUGGGUUCUUGUUCGAGACUAUUGUCUUCCUAGAAGAACCAUAUCUGGGUUCUUGUUCGAGACUAUUGUCUUCCUAGAAGAAUCAUAUCAAUUGGUAUUAGAAGGUGACCUUCCAACCACACCAUUCCAAUGGUUGCCAACACCCGUACUUUACGUGAAGAUUUUGACCAUUUCAAAGAUUCAAUGGAGUCUCGCUUCUUGGAGCUCGACACGUCGCUGGAGGCUCGUUUCAUGGAAAUUGGUGUAUCUUUG
This 506-nucleotide small RNA is filed under the name Vigna angularis var. angularis. Its description in RNAcentral is "Non-protein coding transcript". Lineage: Eukaryota; Viridiplantae; Streptophyta; Magnoliopsida; Fabales; Fabaceae. The record is from RNAcentral.